UACGUAGGCAGCAAGCGUUGUUCGGAGUUACUGGGCGUAAAGGGUGUGUAGGCGGUCCUCUAAGUUUGGUGUGAAAUCUCCCGGCUCAACUGGGAGGGUGCGCCGAAAACUGGGGGGCUAGAGUACUGGAUGGGAGAGUGGAAUUCCUGGUGUAGCGGUGAAAUGCGUAGAUAUCAGGAGGAACACCUGUGGUGUAGACGGCUCUCUGGACAGUAACUGACGCUGAGACACGAAAGCGUGGGUAGCAAACAGG
Molecule: ribosomal RNA, 253 nt
Filed under: uncultured bacterium
Lineage: Bacteria
Description: partial 16S ribosomal RNA
Rfam family: Bacterial small subunit ribosomal RNA
Source: RNAcentral